This 492-nucleotide ribosomal RNA is filed under the name uncultured bacterium. RNAcentral's name for it is "partial 16S ribosomal RNA". It matches the Rfam family "Bacterial small subunit ribosomal RNA", at positions 29 to 507 of the family's 1533-position model. The record is from RNAcentral.
AGUGAACGCUGGCGGUAGGCCUAACACAUGCAAGUCGAACGGCAGCACAGUAAGAGCUUGCUCUUACGGGUGGCGAGUGGCGGACGGGUGAGGAAUACAUCGGAAUCUACUUUUUCGUGGGGGAUAACGUAGGGAAACUUACGCUAAUACCGCAUACGACCUACGGGUGAAAGCAGGGGAUCUUCUGACCUUGCGCGAUUGAAUGAGCCGAUGUCGGAUUAGCUAGUUGGCGGGGUAAAGGCCCACCAAGGCGACGAUCCGUAGCUGGUCUGAGAGGCUGAUCAGCCACACUGGAACUGAGACACGGUCCAGACUCCUACGGGAGGCAGCAGUGGGGAAUAUUAGACAAUGGGCGCAAGCAUGAUCCAGCCAUACCGCGUGGGUGAAGAAGGCCUUCGGGUUGUAAAGCCCUUUUGUUGGGAAAGAACAGCAGCAGGUUAAUACCCCGCUGUUCUGACGGUACCCAAAGAAUAAGCACCGGCUAACUUCGUG